Molecule: ribosomal RNA, 387 nt
Filed under: uncultured bacterium
Lineage: Bacteria
Description: bacterial SSU rRNA
Rfam family: Bacterial small subunit ribosomal RNA
Source: RNAcentral
AUUGAACGCUGGCGGCAUGCUUUACACAUGCAAGUCGAGCGGCAGCGCGGGGGCAACCUUGGCGGCGAGCGGCGAACGGGUGAGUAACGCAUCGGAACGUAUCCUGUAGUGGGGAAUAACUCACCGAAAGGUGAGCUAAUACCGCAUAAGCUCUGAGGAGGAAAGCGGGGGACCGAAAGGCCUCGCGCUGCAGGAGCGGCCGAUGUCCGAUUAGCUAGUUGGUGAGGUAAAGGCUCACCAAGGCGACGAUCGGUAGCUGGUCUGAGAGGAUGAUCAGCCACACUGGGACUGAGACACGGCCCAGACUCCUACGGGAGGCAGCAGUGGGGAAUUUUGGACAAUGGGCGCAAGCCUGAUCCAGCCAUGCCGCGUGCGGGAAGAAGGCCU